GACGAACGCUGGCGGCGUGCCUAAUACAUGCAAGUCGAACGAACCGCGACUAAGUGCUUGCACUAAGUCAAGGUGAGUGGCGAACGGGUGAGUAACACGUGGGUAACCUACCUCAUAGUGGGGGAUAACAGUCGGAAACGACUGCUAAUACCGCAUAGGACAUAGGAUCACAUGAUCCAGUGAGGAAAGGUGGCGCAAGCUAUCGCUAAGAGAUGGACCCGCGGUGCAUUAGCUAGUUGGUAGGGUAAAGGCCUACCAAGGCGAUGAUGCAUAGCCGACCUGAGAGGGUGAUCGGCCACAUUGGGACUGAGACACGGCCCAAACUCCUACGGGAGGCAGCAGUAGGGAAUCUUCCGCAAUGGACGCAAGUCUGACGGAGCAACACCGCGUGAGUGAAGAAGGUCUUCGGAUCGUAAAGCUCUGUUGUUAGAGAAGAACAGCGCAUAGAGUAACUGCUAUGCGUGUGACGGUAUCUAACCAGAAAGCCACGGCUAACUACGUG
RNAcentral lists this ribosomal RNA (502 nucleotides) under uncultured bacterium. RNAcentral describes it as "partial 16S ribosomal RNA". It matches the Rfam family "Bacterial small subunit ribosomal RNA", at positions 28 to 507 of the family's 1533-position model. The record is from RNAcentral.